Molecule: unclassified non-coding RNA, 330 nt
Filed under: Hevea brasiliensis (rubber tree)
Lineage: Eukaryota; Viridiplantae; Streptophyta; Magnoliopsida; Malpighiales; Euphorbiaceae
Source: RNAcentral
ACAACCCAAUAAAUUAAAAUUGAAAGAACCCUAAAAUUUAUAUAUGGAAGGGAGGGGAAGGGAAGGAAAAGGUAGCAUGAAGAGAAGUAGAAAGCACGCAGGAAACUUGCAGCAGUGGAAGGAAUCGAUUAUAGUCUAUAAAUUAUGAUAUUGUCACUUUUCUGGUAUGUUGUAUAAACCGGUGUCUAUUAUGCACUUCAUUCUGGUGUAGGUUCCACUUGGCUUCCAUUUCUUGAUUUUCUUGUAGCUGUCUGCACACCAACUCUACAGUACAGAUGGCCACCUCCUGUCCUGUAAUAGCCAACUAAUGCUCUGUUCGGAGGGGUGAGG